Fragaria vesca subsp. vesca is the source of this 2768-nucleotide RNA transcript. It is a transcript of the gene named 1-aminocyclopropane-1-carboxylate oxidase homolog 1-like, with no coding region annotated. The record is from RefSeq and is a predicted model, not a curated record. Lineage: Eukaryota; Viridiplantae; Streptophyta; Magnoliopsida; Rosales; Rosaceae. The transcript is spliced from 7 exons.
UUCAUCUGCAGUCGGGCUUUGAUCACCAUCCUCGCUUUCUUUUCUAGUUUGAGUUCUCUGCUCGCAGAUCUCACUGGCGCCAUCUUCACGCUUUUGAUCCUCGUUGCCCUCUCAACCCUGAUUUGCAGUCUAUGGUCACCGAUUCGGGAAACUUGGCGGGAAAGAACGGAAAGCAACAUGCCCUUCAAUUUACCAGAAGAGUUUGAACACCUGCAGAGCACAACAAUUGAAAUUGCAAUGUAGGUGUAGCUUUACAUUCAAGCACAAUAUUAGGAAAGUACAUGUUCCUCGUCCGGGUGGGUGGCUAAAGUGAGGAGAGUGUUAGCAUUAUUGGACACGUAUGUGGGACCGUGCCGCCCGUUACAGCUUCCGCAAAACAGUACACACUAGACACCAUGUUUUCAGCCUAAUAAUAUCAUGAAAGAACAAAGGAUAGACAAUAAGACAAAUUUACCAUCAGUAAUGAUGACAAAUGCCCAAAACUUAUGUGGCUAGCUAGCAAUGAAAGAUGUGUACAGAAAACCAUUUGUGCUAGUGAAAGCUCACCGGAGUUUUGAGUCCCAAAAGACAAGCUAGCUGCAAACAACAAAAUGGUCUCCGGGAAUUCAAGCAACCAAGACCGUCUUCAACAGCUCAAGGCCUUUGACGAAUCCAAAGCUGGUGUCAAAGGGAUCGCUGAUGCCGGCAUUACCAAAAUCCCACCAAUUUUCGUCCGAACUACGGCGGAUUACGCCGGCGAAGAUCAAGUUUCCGGCCAGACAAUCCAAACCCAGUUCAGUAUCCCGGUGGUGGACCUCGCUGAGACUGCUGGCAGGCGUGCGGAGGUGAUCGACGGAGUGCGGCUGGCGGCGGAGAGCGUGGGGUUCUUCCAGGUGGUGAACCAUGGGAUACCCAAGAGAGUGUUGGAGGGGAUGCUGGAGGCGGCGCGUGGGUUUCACGAGCUGCCGAGGGAGGUGAAGGCCGAGUACUAUAGUAGGGAGCUGAUGAGGAAAGUCAAGUUUGGGAGCAACUUUGAUUUGUAUCAGUCCAGAUUUGCUAAUUGGAGGGACAGCUUGUUCUGUGUCAUGGGUCCUGAGCCUCUUGAUCCUCAAGAAUUGCCUCCGGUUUGCAGAGACAUUACAAUGGAGUAUUCCGUUCAAGUUCACAAACUAGGUGUGACAUUGUUUGAGUUGCUAUCUGAGGUGCUUGGGCUAAAACCGGACCACCUUUUUGAACUGGAUUGUGCAAAGGGGCAUCUUCUUCUUAGUCACUACUAUCCACCAUGCCCUGAGCCUGAACUGACUUUGGGCACAACCAAACACUCCGAUCCUGAUUUUCUCACAAUUCUACUUCAAGACAAUAUUGGUGGCCUCCAAGUUCUGUGUGAAAACCAGUGGAUUGAUGUUCCUCCUGUUCCUGGUGCUCUGGUGGUCAACAUUGGAGAUCUCUUGCAGCUUAUAUCCAAUGAUAGAUUCAAAAGUGUAGAGCAUCAAGUGCUUGCCAACCUCGGAGGACCAAGAGUAUCUAUUGCUUGCUUUUUCACCUUGCAUCUUUAUCCAUCAACAAGGUUGUACGGCCCCAUUAACGAAUUGCUGUCAGAAAAUCAUCCCCCUGUAUACAGAGAAACCUCACUUCGAGACUUCAUUGCUUACUACGAUGGAAAAGGGCUUGAUGGGAACUCUGCACUAACACAUUUCAAACAACCAAAUUUGCAAAUUCCCCUCAUAAAUCUCAGUGGCCUCUACGGUGAUCGCCACAAGGAGAUUGUUAAUGAAGUUCGGAUUGCAUCCGAGACAUGGGGUUUCUUCCAAGUAGUCAAUCAUGGAAUUCCAGUGAAUGUGCUUGAAGAUAUGAUGCAAGGAGUAAGGAGGUUUAAUGAGCAAGAUCUUGAGGUGAAGAAACAGUUCUAUAGUCGUGAUCUAAAGAGAAUUGUGAGAUUCGAUAGCAACUAUGAUCUCUACCAGUCCAAAGCAGCCAAUUGGAGGGACACUUUAGCUUUCACCAAGCCUGUAGUGGAUCAUACCCAAGAACUUCCUGAAGUUUGUAGAGAAGCUACACUUGAGUGCACAAACCAUGUCGUCAAGUUGGCAGAUCAACUCUUUGAAUUGCUAUCAGAGGCUCUGGGACUCAAACCAGAUUAUCUAACAAGAGAAAUGGAGUGUGCUAAGUUUUUUACCUGUGUCUGCCACUACUAUCCAGCAUGCCCUGAACCAGAGCUAACUUUGGGAACUAGCAAGCACACAGAUCCAGCGUUCCUCACAAUUCUCCUUCAAGACGAAAUCGGUGGCCUUCAAGUUCUUCAUGACAAUCAGUAGGUUGAUAUUGACCCCAUUUCAGGAGGCUUGAUAAUAAACAUAGGGGAUUUUCUCCAGGCUAUAUCAAAUGACAAGCUCAAGAGUGUUCAACAUAGAGUCCUCACCAACCGUGUCGGUCCACGGAUUUCUGUAGGUUAUUUUUUCAUAGGAGAGACUGCUGCCAAGUCCUAUGGUCCUAUCAAAGAGCUUUUAUCAGAUGAAAACCCUCCUCUCUAUGGUGCAUUCUCCAUAGAAGAGUAUCGUGCCAAGUUCUUUUCUCAAGGGCUUGAUGAGAAGUCUAGAGUACUUGACAAAUUCAGGCGGCUAUGAAGCUAGCUACUUCAACUGGGCUCAAAAGUUUCAAUUUGAGAUGUGUAUCGCUGAAUACCUAUUGCGGUGAAAAUAUUAUAGGGGUGUGAAAUUUAGGCCCAGUUCGGCACAGCUGUGUUGUGGGAAGAAUUGCUUUUGAAUCUGCUACAGGUAGAAUUGAUUUUG